AUGCUCUUCAAGAUCACCUCCGUCUACGGUCCCUCAGACUCCUCUUGCAAAGAUGCUUUCUUUGCCGAGCUGCUGGCAGAGAAACCACCGACCGGGGUGGCCUGGCUUGCCUCAGGCGACUUCAACCAAAUUUAUAGGGCGCGAGAUAAAAAUAAGAGAAAUGUGAACCGCGGCAGGAUCAACCGUUUCAGGGCAACGCUCCACAGUUGUGAACUCAAAGAGAUCCACCUUCAAAACCGGAGAUUCACUUGGAGCAAUGAGAGGGCAAAUCCAACCUUAUGCAAGCUUGACUCUUUUUUCUGCAACGCCGAGUGGGACACAACUUUCAACACUCAUGUCCUUAAUGCGCUUUCCUCCUCUCUCUCCGACCAUUGUCCGCUUCUUCUUGCUGAUGACAAGGGACCAAGAAGGCCUCGAGUGUUUAAAUUUGAAAACUUCUGGGCAUCCAUGCCCGGAUUCAACGAGGUGGUUCAAAAUGCGUGGAACGAGAGGGUUGACCACACUGAGCCAUACCUCAUUCUUUACCACAAGCUCAAGAAGACGGCUCUCCGCCUCUCUGAAUGGAGUAGAGGUCUUUUCUCCAAGGCUAAAAUUCACCACCAGGCCGCGCUCUUGGUGAUAUUUCGCCUCGACAUCGCCCAAGAGGAUAGGCUCCUCUCCACCGAAGAAAUUGAGCUCCGGGCCAAGCUCAAGAGAAGGGUCAUCGCCUUGGCGGCGCUCGAAAGAUCGCGCAAGAAGCAAUGUGCGAGAAUUGCCAACCUUAGAGAUGGGAAUGCUAAUACAAAAUUCUUCCAUCGCCGAGUCAAUGCAAGGCGGAGAAAAAAAUCAUAUCCAUAG
Molecule: ribosomal RNA, 837 nt
Filed under: Triticum aestivum (bread wheat)
Lineage: Eukaryota; Viridiplantae; Streptophyta; Magnoliopsida; Poales; Poaceae
Description: partial small subunit ribosomal RNA
Source: RNAcentral